CUGUGAGACAGGUGCUGCAUGGCUGUCGUCAGCUCGUGUUGUGAAAUGUUGGGUUAAGUCCCGCAACGAGCGCAACCCUUAUCCUUUGUUGCCAGCGAUUAGGUCGGGAACUCAAAGGAGACUGCCAGUGAUAAACUGGAGGAAGGUGGGGAUGACGUCAAGUCAUCAUGGCCCUUACGACCAGGGCUACACACGUGCUACAAUGGCGCAUACAAAGAGAAGCGACCUCGCGAGAGCAAGCGGACCUCAUAAAGUGCGUCGUAGUCCGGAUUGGAGUCUGCAACUCGACUCCAUGAAGUCGGAAUCGCUAGUAAUCGUGGAUCAGAAUGCCACGGUGAAUACGUUCCCGGGCCUUGUACACACCGCCCGUCACACCAUGGGAGUGGGUUGCAAAAGAAGUAGGUAGCUUAACCUUCGGGAGGGCGCUUACCACUUUGUGAUUCAUGACUGGGGUGAAGUCGUAACAAGGUAACCGUAGGGGAACCUGCGGUUGGAUCACCUCCUUA
RNAcentral lists this ribosomal RNA (506 nucleotides) under Staphylococcus aureus. RNAcentral describes it as "partial 16S ribosomal RNA". It matches the Rfam family "Bacterial small subunit ribosomal RNA", at positions 1027 to 1533 of the family's 1533-position model. RNAcentral also lists the same sequence under 4 other names. The record is from RNAcentral. Lineage: Bacteria; Bacillati; Bacillota; Bacilli; Caryophanales; Staphylococcaceae.